CAGCAGCCGCGGUAAUACGAAGGGUGCAAGCGUUAAUCGGAAUUACUGGGCGUAAAGCGUGCGUAGGCGGUGAGUUAAGUCUGCUGUGAAAUCCCCGGGCUCAACCUGGGAAUGGCAGUGGAUACUGGCUCGCUAGAGUGUGUCAGAGGAUGGUGGAAUUCCCGGUGUAGCGGUGAAAUGCGUAGAGAUCGGGAGGAACAUCAGUGGCGAAGGCGGCCAUCUGGGACAACACUGACGCUGAGGCACGAAAGCGUGGGGAGCAAACAGGAUUAGAUACCCCCGUAGUCCCUGUCUCUUAUAU
This 301-nucleotide ribosomal RNA is filed under the name uncultured bacterium. RNAcentral's name for it is "partial 16S ribosomal RNA". It matches the Rfam family "Bacterial small subunit ribosomal RNA", at positions 509 to 809 of the family's 1533-position model. The record is from RNAcentral.